CUAUCACCUCCCGUCUCAUUGUGCGGUGGCAGCAACCAACGUACACACACUUGGGCUCCCGGCAGCGGCCUCGGUCUCGCUCCAGCCGUGCUGCCGCCUCUAAGAGGGUUGUCGCCUCAUCCCGCGGGUGUAGCAGGGGAAGGGCCAUGAACCUGGGAGAUGGAUUAAAGCUUGAAACUGAAAUUUUGGAUGGAAAACCUCGGCUAAUUUUGGCUUCAUAUGGUAAAUCAAAAUCCACAGUUAAGAUGGGCAAUAAAGCUAAAGUCCUCAAACAUCCAUUGAGAACAAAACAGUCUGGACAUGUUCUGAAAUCAACACAAAAUUCCUGUGUCAAGCAUGAACAUAUUUUAGCAAAACCCAGAAGUGGAUCAAGAUGGUCAGCAAUAAAAGGUGAAAAAAACUGUGUGACUUUGUCAUCAUCUAAAGAUUCAUCAAAGGAAUCCUUAAAUAAAAAACAUGCUUUGAUUAUCCAAAAAGACAACACAACUGGAAUGCCGGAUUUACAGAACCCUAAUACAAUUGCUGUUAAAAAGCCCAAACAGAAGUCUCAAAAACCUCAUAUCUCAGGUGAAGAUCUAAGGAACAAUUUGGUGUGUUUAACUCAAGAGCAACUUGAACAGAUUCUGAUGACUGUAAAACAAGGAACCAAAACUGAGUCCCAGGCCCAGGAGGAAAAGCAAGAAGAAACAAGCCAAAACAAAAAUUCCGAUAGGAGCACUGCUGCUAAUCAGGCCCCACAAGAGGAGAACAUUAUGGGAUUACUCCAAAAAGCUGAUGAAAUUUCAUCUGUUCCAAACGAAAAUAAUUAUGCCUCAAGCAGAAAAGAAGCAGCAUCUGAGCAGACUGAACAGAAAGUUAUUAAGAAUUCAUGGAAACCAGCUGACAUGUUUAGUACCCUAGGUGAAAGAGAGGAGGAUAAAAUUUUAUUAGAUGCAAAGAAGUCCCAGUGGAAGAAGGAACUAGAUGAACAGAUAGCUUUAAAGAAGAAAUUAAAAGAAACUUUGGAGCGACAGACGAAAUACUACCAUUGGGAGAAAACGGAUGGUGAUGGUGAUAAAACCCAUUUGGAAAAACUGAAGCCAGUUAAUCAAGCUAACAUGACAUUUCCAGCUGAUUUGAGCAUUGCUGCUGAGGAAAACCACAUUUUUAGAACCACUUUGAUCACAGAGGCUAGUGAAGUUGCACCCAGUGUUUCGAGUGGACCAACUGCUCAGUCGGCUAGUUUCAGUUCUCCUGACUUGCCAGCUGCCAUUCGUACAGCAUUUGUGUUAGGGGAAGCUACACCAGUGGAGCACCCCUUUAGUGCCAUGAAACGAGAACAACAGAAGAAGUGGCUUCUAGAUCUGGACAAACAAAAGGAAGAGGCUAAACUACGAAAAAUAGAGGAAAAACAUAAUUUAUCAAAGGCUGAGGAGCAUGAGAGAUGGGCAGUGCAUUUUGAUUCUUUAAAGAACUACCCUCGUGCUAAUCCACAACACCCCAUAAAUGGAACAUACAACAAGCAGCCUGAAAUUCUUUGCCUGUCCCCCGAAUCUCAGGCCCUGACUGCUGUUAUUCAUCCUUUUACACCUGCAGCUUUAGGCCAUCUCAUACAUUCAAAGGUGGAGAAUGUAGAAAAAACUGUUGAGAACACUACUUCGGAACAAAAUAAAAAAGCCAGUUUUCUCCGGUCAAUGACAGCUCUCUUGGAUCCUGCACAAAUUGAGGAAAGAGACAGGAGGCGGCAGAAACAGUUAGAACAUCAGAAAGCUAUAAUGGCUCAAGUAGAGGAAAAGCGAAGAAAGAAGCAGCUGGAGGAAGAGCAAAGAAAAUGGGAAGAACAAGAAGAAGAACACCGCUUAGCACGAGAACGAGAACUGAUGCAAAAACAGUUUGAAGAGGAUAUGCUCAAACAAAAACAAAAGGAAGAAAUCAUGACUCUUAAAACAAAUGAGCUCUAUCAGACAAUGCAGAGAGCACAAGAACAGGCUCAGAGAUUAAAACAGGAACAACGUAUUCGAGAGUUGGCUCAAAAAGGACAUGACAUUUCAAAACUGCAGAAGAAUCUUGAGGGUGGUGGUGGCGGCGGCGGUGAUAAAAUAUCUGAGAGUUAUUGUACUGGCCUUUCAAAUGUAAGUCAUGAUCAUUGUUCUGAUGAAGUGAGCAGUAAGAUGCAUCAAGAUGUAAAAACCGUAACCUCUCCUCGGAAAGAUACUGCUGUGCAGACAGAUGACUUUGACACCAGAGCAUACAUCCGAACUGAAACAUGUACUGAGCCAGUUGUAGAAAGAAGAACUGUGGACUGUACAUCUCCAAAUAUUUCCAUAGAAUAUAAAGAGAAAUUUAACAUCAAAAAAUGCAAGAAAGAAAUGCAGUAUCCAGAUAAAAAUAAAAUUUCCGAAAAAGAGAAUAAUGGCAGUUACACUGAUUUGUAUAACCAAUUUGCAAGAAAAGAGAAACAAACAAAACCUAUGGAAAAAUAUGGAAAGAGACCUGACUGGAACAUAAACAAACCUGGGAAAAGGUAUAUUCCAGCAUCAGAAAGAUACCCUAGACGGCUACAAAAGCAAAGGGAGGAAAAGAAAGUAAGACGACAGAUAGAGCUGCUUCAGUUGGUAGAAAGAAAUACUCCUGGCAAACUCUGCCAAAAGAAAGAAGUCUCUCCAGAAAGGUCUCCUUCACCUCACCAGGAAACUAAUACAAAGAGUAAGGGACAUGCAGUCACAAAGAAAGAACAAUCUCAGAAGAGUCAUUUGAAUGAAGAAAGAUCUGAAUCACCACCUGUUCCAGCAGUUAAAAACAGAUUAUACCAAGUACAACAAAGGCAGAUAAAUACUUCUAAUUUCCCAGUUCAGAAUGGCAAUAGUGGAAGAGAGAGAAAUAUCAACACAGACAUGCAACAGAGGAAAUCGUCUUCUCCAGUUAUUGAACCUGAACGGCCACCCUCUUCUCAUUUUAUUCCCUAUGUGCGAACAAAUGAAAUUUAUUACCUUGAUCCAGAUGCACCAAUGACUAGACCUUCAACACAUGAUCCACAAUAUCGACAGUUUAAUGAUUCUUGCCAUACACCACGGCAGAUUUUUAGUUCUGAUCAUGUGAGAGAUCCACUUCUUAAUCCUAAUGUGGUGAAAAACAGAGACCGACAACAGGCAAUCCUCAAAGGACUAUCAGAAUUACGCCAGGCACAAAGCUUUAUUCAGUGCACAGGAUGGACCUGUUGUAGGGAUCAACCAAAGUUGUGUACUACUGGAGAGACUUAUCUGCAGGACCCCAGCUUCCUUUGUUGCAGAAGUUUCAAGGUGUGUACUGAAUGAAAAAAGGCACUACAAGAAGAGAAAGUAUUGUGUUUAAGAGUAUGUCUACACUACCCGCCGGAUUGGCAGGUAGUGAUUGAUCUAUCAGGGAUUGAUACAUCACAUCUAGACGAGACCUGAUACAUCGAUCCCCAAACGCGCUGCCUAUCAACUCCGUAACUCCACCAGGGCAAGAGGUGGAAGCGGUGGCCGUCGAUCCUGCGCUACGAGGACUCGAAGAGGAGAAAGGCAUCUGCCGAAGGCUGAAGGCCACCUCCCCCAAACAGAACAGACAACACUUCCUAUUUGUGGAAGAGGCAAAGAAAGCCAAUUCCAGACAGCACCACAUUUGGAAUACAGCGUCUAGGAUCGGCGACCUAGCUAUCUUUCAGAGUCCUGGAAGAGGCCUCUGCUGAGAACAUGGGCCGUGAUGUUUUGUAUUCCAGGAAGGUGCACUGUUGAAAUGUGACUACAAAAGGGGUCAACGUAGACUUUGACAUUGAGCUGAAGGCCUAACUGCAGAAAUAGCGAUAGGGCCCUGUGGGUGGCUGACAGCACUUCCCCAUAAAAACCAACCCUUGACCAACCAGCUGUUUAGGUAUGAGAAUACCACACCUGCCACUAGACGAAGGUGAGCAGCCACCAUCACUAGAACCUGUUUGACAACUCUUAGAGUUGAGACUGAAAAGAAUCGAAUGGUAUCGAAAGUGCUUCUGGCCUUUCACAAAAUGUAAGUAUGUUCUGAGAGCCUGGUGUACCACAGUUUGGAAAUGUGCGUUUUGUAGGCUGAGGGCUGAAAACCAGUCCCCUGAAUCUAAGCAUCAUCACUGCCAGAGUCACCAGUCUGAAUUUUUGGGACUUCACAAAUUUGUUUAGGAAUCUUAGAUCUAAAAUACCAGUCUCCAUCCUCCAUUUCUCUUUGGUAUGAGUAAUUAACUCACAUAGAAACCGUUCCUCAUGUAGAGCCAGGACAGACAACUGCUCCUAGCAAAGGAGGGAUUUUAUCUCCUUUCUUAGUAGGAGCUCAUGAAAGGGGUCCCUGAAAAGGAAUGGGAGAUGUGAAAUGGAUGGCACAGCCCAACGUAACCAUCUCCAAA
This is an RNA transcript of Mauremys reevesii (Reeves's turtle), 4369 nucleotides long. It is a transcript of the gene named coiled-coil domain containing 66, with no coding region annotated. Lineage: Eukaryota; Metazoa; Chordata; Testudines; Geoemydidae. The record is from RefSeq and is a predicted model, not a curated record. The transcript is spliced from 21 exons.